UACGGAAGGGGCAAGCGUUGUUCGGAAUCAUUGGGCGUAAAGGGCGCGCAGGUGGCUCUGUAUGUCUGCCGUGAAAGCAUACAGCUCAACUGUAUUGUGUCGGUAGAAACUGCAGGACUUGAGGCUGGGAGGGGCUGGUGGAAUUCCCUGCGUAGCGGUGAAAUGCGUAGAGAUGGGGGAGAACACUCGUGGCGAAGGCGGCCAGCUAGACCAGUUCUGACACUGAGGCGCGACAGCGUGGGGAGCAAACAGG
Molecule: ribosomal RNA, 253 nt
Filed under: uncultured bacterium
Lineage: Bacteria
Description: partial 16S ribosomal RNA
Rfam family: Bacterial small subunit ribosomal RNA
Source: RNAcentral